CUCACACCGAAUACAGUGUACAAACAUUUUCCUAUUCAUUCAAUCAUGGAUUCAAGAGCAGUUCAAACUCAUUCGCAUGAACAUCACCAUAAUUCUCACAAUGUUGGGUCACACGCAGUGGCACAUGGUGAAGAACAACACCACCAUGACCAUGAGAAGAAGUCGGUUCUGAAGAAAGUCAAGCAAAAGGCUAAGAAAAUUAAGGACACAAUCACAAAGCAUGGCCAUCAUGACCAUGAACAUGAACAUGGUCAUGAGUAUCACCUUGAUGAUCAACAUAUCCCUGAUGAUCAUGACUUGGAAGAGGAAGAUGAGAUGGAUGAAUACCCAGAAGUCCAUGGAGCACCGAUUUAUGACAGUGCCGCUGUUAGAGGUGCAGCACCAGGGCAUGCCAAUACUUUAGGGAGGCCUGGAGUUAAUUUUGGAGGCACAACAGUUAUGGGAGUAGAACCUCUUCACGAGCUAAGAGUUGUAGUUGUUUCUCCAACUACUGAAAUUAAUCAAAACAGAACCACUGACCCAACUAGAACAUUUGUUGAGGGAGAGAAAGCAGUGCAUCGUAAGGUCAAUUUGGAGAGACCAAUGUACUUGGAGGAAGAUCCACAUGCGCCAAGAAGUACAUCUCAAGCAUAUGCUCCAGCCAAUUAUCAAACCAAAGUCACUGAUCCUACCGGGGCAGGUGGGGCAGAAAUUGACAUUACCCCUGUUGAGAAAUCUUUCUCUAGGAUGGCUGUUCACAAUGAGCCAAAACCAUACCCAGAACCAAAACUCUUUUCAACUGUUCCUGAAACUCACUACCCUUCUGCUGGAAGCCACUCCCAACUUGCACCAGAGCUAUCUUCUGCAACUAACUACCCAACUAACUACCCAUCUGCUCAAAGCUAUGGUCAGUACAUGCCAGAACUAUCUAGUGAAGUUAAAACUCAGUACCCCAAAAGCCAUAAUCAGUUUAUGCCAGAGUUAUCUACACCAACCAAAACUCCCUACCCUUCCACCAAUAUCCAUGACCAACACUUACCACAACAAUCUAGUGCAACAAAAACUCAAUACCCUUUAUCUGGAAGUCAUGACAAGUUUGCACCAGUGUUAUCUACUGAACCUAACAUUCAGUACCCUUCAACCAAAAUCCAUGACCAAGACUUGCCUCAGCAGUUUACUGCAACAAAAACUCAAUACCCUUCAUCUGGAAGCCAUGAUCAGUUAACACCAGAAUUAUCUUUCUCUACUGAACCUAACCUUCAGUACACUUCAACAAAAAUCCAUGACCAACACUUGCCACGACAAUUUAGUACAAAUGCAACACAUACUAUAUGUCCUUCAGCUGGAAGUCAUGAUCAAUUUCUACCAGAAUAUCCAACUCAAACCAAAACCCCACAAACCUAUACCACCACCCAAGUUGAGGAACCACACUAUGAACCAUCAAACGAGAGCAGUUACACAGAUAAAAUCUCCUCCGCAACCACAGCAAUAGCUGACAAAGCCAUCACUGCCAAAAAUGUUGUAGCUUCAAAGCUCGGAUACGGUGAUGACACCACCGAAAAAACUCAAACAAAUCAUAAAGAAGAGAACACAAGCAAUGAAAAACCGUCAACAAUCACAUCAGCAACCUCAGCCAAAAACACUGUCUCUUCGGAUCACCAAGAGAACACAGGCAGUGCAAAGCCAUCAACAAUCUCUUCAGCAACCUCUGCAAUAGCUGAUAAAGCCAUAUCAGCCAAAAACACAGUCUCUUCCAAGCUCGGAUACGCUGACAACAACACCGAAACAACUCAAGCAAGCCAUCAAGAGAACACACAACCAUCAACAAUCUCUUUAGCAACAGCUGCAAUAGCCGAUAAAGCCGUCUCAGCAAAAAACACCGUAGCUUCCAAGCUCGGAUAUGGCGACAACACUGAAACAAAAACAACUCAAACCACUCAAACAAGGAAUCAAUUAAAGAACACAGGCAAUGAGAAACCUUCAACAAUCUCAUCAGCAACCUCUGCAAUAGCUGAUAAAGCUGUCUCAGCCAAAAACACCGUAGCUUCGAAGCUUGGUUUUGGCGACACAGCAACAACAACACAACAAGAGAAGAGAACUGACCAUGCUGCUGCUCCUACAGAAUAUGGAAAAAGUGUUGCUCAGUCCCUGAGAGAGAAACUAGCUCCAGUUUCUGGAAAAGAUGCUGGUGUAGGAAGUGGUGUGAAGUCCAAAGUUUCUGGAACUCAAACUAGUAGUAUGGGUGUGGAACAGGACAAGGGGGUUUCUGUGAAGGACUAUUUGGUGGACAAACUGAGGCGUGGUGAUGAAGACAGGGCUCUCUCUGAAGUGAUAUCAGAGACUCUGCACAAGAAGGAACUGCCCCCAGUGGAAGUUACUGAAGAAGGUGUGAGAAAGGUGGUUUCUGAUGCUGUGCAUAAGAGAGAGGAUGAUCCUGAGAGAAGAAUGGAACAUCAAAGAAUACUGGGAAAGGUAACUGAGUCAGAGGAAGUGAAGAGAAGGUUAGGAGGUGAAAGUGUGGUGACAGAGAAAAAGUACCAAGAGAUGUAUGUGAAUAGUCCAGGGAAAGGUGUGGUUGAUAAGCUUAAAGGUGUGGUUGGGACAUGCUUUACCAACCCAGCAGAGAAUCAAUCUUCACAAGAUUCAUCUAUGAAUUAUGAGGCAGGAAGGGCAGAAGUGGAACAAGUUAACCAAGGUGCAGCAGGUGAAAGAAGGCUGCAGGAGUCAUCUAAUUGAAGAAGGGCUUUGAAGGAGUCUUUGCUUUGGGUGAUUGUGUAGAUUUUCUUAAAAGCUGUUUCUAUAUCUGUUUAGGAUGUUCAAGUCACAGUAAAAUAAAAAAUUUGUGUUUUUUUUUAAUGUUUAUGUAAAUAUCCAAUUUUUUCCGGGUUUA
This is an RNA transcript of Glycine soja, 2869 nucleotides long. It is a transcript of the gene named low-temperature-induced 65 kDa protein-like, with no coding region annotated. The transcript has 6 exons. NCBI's taxonomy places the organism in Eukaryota, Viridiplantae, Streptophyta, Magnoliopsida, Fabales, Fabaceae. The record is from RefSeq and is a predicted model, not a curated record.